Molecule: ribosomal RNA, 253 nt
Filed under: uncultured bacterium
Lineage: Bacteria
Description: partial 16S ribosomal RNA
Rfam family: Bacterial small subunit ribosomal RNA
Source: RNAcentral
UACGUAGGGGGCAAGCGUUGUCCGGAAUUAUUGGGCGUAAAGAGCUCGUAGGCGGUUUGUCGCGUCGAAUGUGAAAACCCGGGGCUCAACCCCGGGCCUGCAUUCGAUACGGGCAGACUAGAGUUCGGUAGGGGAGUCUGGAAUUCCUGGUGUAGCGGUGAAAUGCGCAGAUAUCAGGAGGAACACCGGUGGCGAAGGCGAGACUCUGGGCCGAUACUGACGCUGAGGAGCGAAAGCGUGGGGAGCAAACAGG